Molecule: ribosomal RNA, 382 nt
Filed under: Microsporum audouinii
Lineage: Eukaryota; Fungi; Ascomycota; Eurotiomycetes; Onygenales; Arthrodermataceae
Description: SSU rRNA
Rfam family: Eukaryotic small subunit ribosomal RNA
Source: RNAcentral
CGGGGAAUUAGGGUUCGAUUCCGGAGAAGGAGCCUGAGAAACGGCUACCACCUCCAAGGAAGGCAGCAGGCGCGCAAAUUACCCAAUCCCGACUCGGGGAGGUAGUGACAAUAAAUACUGAUACGGGGCUCUUUGGGGUCUGGUAAUGGGAAUGACUACAAUUUAAUCCCCUUAACGAGAAACAUUUGGAGGGCAAGUCUGGUGCCAGCAGCCGCGGUAAUUCCAGCUCCAAUAGCGUGCAUUAAAGUUGUUGCAGUUAAAAACCUCGAACUUGAACCUUGGUUCUGGCUGGCCGGUGCCCUUCCCUGCGUGCACUGUUCCCCGUGCCUUUCUUCCUUCUGGGCAACCCCAUGGCCUUCCCUGGCUGUGGGGGAAACCAGGA